This 447-nucleotide ribosomal RNA is filed under the name uncultured bacterium. RNAcentral's name for it is "bacterial SSU rRNA". It matches the Rfam family "Bacterial small subunit ribosomal RNA", at positions 355 to 825 of the family's 1533-position model. The record is from RNAcentral.
UCGGGAAUUUUGUGCAAUGGGCGAAAGCCUGACACAGCAACGCCGCGUGAAGGAUGAAGUCCCUCGGGAUGUAAACUUCGUAAGAAUAGGAAGAAUAAAUGACGGUACUAUUUGUAAGGUCCGGCUAACUGCGUGCCAGCAGCCGCGGUAAUACGUAGGGACCAAGCGUUGUUCGGAUUUACUGGGCGUAAAGGGUGCGUAGGCGGCAUAUCAAGUCACUUGUGAAAUCUCCGGGCUUAACUCGGAACUGCCAAGUGAUACUGAUGUGCUAGAGUGCAGAAAGGGCAACUGGAAUUCUUGGUGUAGCGGUGAAAUGCGUAGAUAUCAAGAGGAACACCUGAGGCGAAGGCGAGUUGCUAGGCUGACACUGACGCUGAGGUACGAAAGCUAGGGGAGCGAACGGGAUUAGAUACCCCCGUAGUCCCUGAGCGGGCUGGCAAGGCGCAU